AAUGAACGCUGGCGGCAUGCCUAACACAUGCAAGUCGAACGAGACCUUCGGGUCUAGUGGCGCACGGGUGCGUAACGCGUGGGAACCUGCCCUUAGGUUCGGAAUAACUCCCCGAAAGGGGUGCUAAUACCGGAUAAUGUCUUCGGACCAAAGAUUUAUCGCCUUUGGAUGGGCCCGCGUUGGAUUAGCUAGUUGGUAGGGUAAAAGCCUACCAAGGCGACGAUCCAUAGCUGGUCUGAGAGGAUGAUCAGCCACACUGGGACUGAGACACGGCCCAGACUCCUACGGGAGGCAGCAGUGGGGAAUAUCGGACAAUGGGCGAAAGCCUGAUCCAGCAAUGCCGCGUGAGUGAUGAAGGCCUUAGGGUUGUAAAGCUCUUUUACCCGGGAUGAUAAUGACAGUACCGGGAGAAUAAGCUCCGGCUAACUCCGUG
This 433-nucleotide ribosomal RNA is filed under the name uncultured bacterium. RNAcentral describes it as "partial 16S ribosomal RNA". It matches the Rfam family "Bacterial small subunit ribosomal RNA", at positions 29 to 507 of the family's 1533-position model. The record is from RNAcentral.